CACAAGACUACAUGACAAGCUAUCAAAAACUGAAGUUUUCAAAGGUCUCUCUCAAAGUGAAAGGGUGAGCUCUGUAUGCCGUGAAAGCCAGGACGUUAAUGAAGACCAGAUUUUACAAAUACUGGACUCUAAAUCGCACAAAAGAGAAGACCUGGUGAAGGCAUGCAACUGUCUUGGAGUGUCAACAACUGGCUCACAAACAGACCUUAUAAACAGGCUGGAGGAACUUCUCCUUUAUAAGGAGGUUUACCCCAAAAUGUUUGUAAAGCUGAAAAAAGCUGGAGGUGGAGUAUUACACAUGGGCUGCACCCAUGGUGUUGUAUAUUAUACAUCACCAUUAUGGUGGCAGGAAUCUGCACGGGACCAUGGGGAUGCUCUGCUAAGUUUUAAAUAUCCCCCCACUGUGUGCAUCUCUGACAUCGCUGGACGUGUUGCCAGGCAUGUUAAUAAUCGUACGCAACAG
Long non-coding RNA from Sinocyclocheilus anshuiensis, 463 nucleotides. RefSeq lists it as uncharacterized. The transcript is spliced from 3 exons. NCBI's taxonomy places the organism in Eukaryota, Metazoa, Chordata, Actinopteri, Cypriniformes, Cyprinidae. The record is from RefSeq and is a predicted model, not a curated record.